RNAcentral lists this ribosomal RNA (253 nucleotides) under uncultured bacterium. Its description in RNAcentral is "partial 16S ribosomal RNA". It matches the Rfam family "Bacterial small subunit ribosomal RNA", at positions 524 to 776 of the family's 1533-position model. The record is from RNAcentral.
UACAGAGGUCUCAAGCGUUGUUCGGAUUCAUUGGGCGUAAAGGGUGCGUAGGCGGCGCGGUAAGUCGGGUGUGAAAUUUCGGAGCUUAACUCCGAAACUGCAUUCGAUACUGCCGUGCUUGAGGACUGGAGAGGAGACCGGAAUUUACGGUGUAGCAGUGAAAUGCGUAGAGAUCGUAAGGAAGACCAGUGGCGAAGGCGGGUCUCUGGACAGUUCCUGACACUGAGGCACGAAGGCCAGGGGAGCAAACGGG